AAAUCUGGCGUCUUUGGCGUCCGAGUUGUAAUUUGAAGAAGGUAUCUUUGCCUCCGGUUAUUGAUCUAUCAUUCCUUGGAACAGGACGUCACAGAGGGUGAGAAUCCCGUGCGAUGAGAUGACCCGGGUCUGUGUAAAGUUCCUUCGACGAGUCGAGUUGUUUGGGAAUGCAGCUCUAAGUGGGUGGUAAAUUCCAUCUAAAGCUAAAUAUUGGCGAGAGACCGAUAGCGAACAAGUACAGUGAUGGAAAGAUGAAAAGAACUUUGAAAAGAGAGUGAAAAAGUACGUGAAAUUGUUGAAAGGGAAGGGCUUGAGAUCAGACUUGGUAUUUUGCAUGCUGCUCUCUCGGGGGCGGCCGCUGCGGUUUACCGGGCCAGCAUCGGUUUGGAGCGGCAGGAUAAUGGCGGAGGAAUGUGGCACGGCUUCUGCUGUGUGUUAUAGCCUCUGACGAUACUGCCAGCCUAGACCGAGGACUGCGGUUUUUACCUAGGAUGUUGGCAUAAUGAUCUUAAGUCGCCCGUCUUGAAACACGGAACC
This 537-nucleotide ribosomal RNA is filed under the name Candida albicans. RNAcentral describes it as "eukaryotic LSU rRNA". It matches the Rfam family "Eukaryotic large subunit ribosomal RNA", at positions 118 to 664 of the family's 3401-position model. The record is from RNAcentral. Lineage: Eukaryota; Fungi; Ascomycota; Pichiomycetes; Serinales; Debaryomycetaceae.